CAGAAAAUAGUAUAAUUUAUUACGUAAGUUUUGGGGAUUUAGAAUGAGAAUAUCUUUUCUGA
This 62-nucleotide transfer RNA is filed under the name Subparmatus marinkellei. RNAcentral describes it as "Carios marinkellei tRNA-Pro". Lineage: Eukaryota; Metazoa; Arthropoda; Arachnida; Ixodida; Argasidae. The record is from RNAcentral.